Long non-coding RNA from Nerophis lumbriciformis (worm pipefish), 1020 nucleotides. RefSeq lists it as uncharacterized. The record is from RefSeq and is a predicted model, not a curated record. NCBI's taxonomy places the organism in Eukaryota, Metazoa, Chordata, Actinopteri, Syngnathiformes, Syngnathidae.
AAUUGACUGGCAGAGACAUCUUCAUGUAAAACAACAUGGCCGUCUCUAUACAGGUUCAUGUCACUUACCGAGACGCUCCUGUCGACGUCCAACACGAAUUUAUGGACACGCAUUGAGGUGCAGUGACUUGAGAGGCUGACAAGAUCUUGAAGACCACCUGGCCUUUCCUAAAUGUACACAUGCGUUAUUACAAAAGGUGCAAAGUUCAAGGUUGUACAAGUCCUUCUGAGCAGGUUCCAGGGGACAAGGAGGAGACGAGCAGUCUGCAAGAACCUUCACAAGGGUGCUGCUGAUCUCCUCCCAUGUCAUCCUCUCGAUGGCACCCUGGAAUGUGUGCAUGAGCUGCUCCAUUCUUGAAGUUAAUAGAAAUAUUCUGAGUUUGUGCUUUAUUCAUGAACUGGCGAGAGGACUACAGCAUAGUCGCACACAGUGUUAUGUCUGGACGGAAGAAGAAGGAAGAAAGUGACAAACAGCAUCAGAGAGCUUCAAAACAUUGUUGCCAUGGACAAAUCUGAUGGCGUCACAUGCACAAAAACCAACCUUGCAUCCUCCUCUCUGCAGGUUGUAUGAGUCCAGUUGAGCAGGUUCCAGGGGGCAAGGAGGAGUAGGAGGAGGAGAGCAGUCUGCAAUAACCUCCAUAAGGGUGCUGCUGAUCUGCUCCCAUGUCAUCCCCUCGAUGGCACCCUGGAAAGUGUGCAGAAGCUGCUCCAUUCUCGAAGGUCUCUGUUACACACAAAAGACACAAAGAAGAGUAUGAGACAUUUUGGUCAGGAUAAACAACACACACUACAUUAUACUUUGGUGUCAAGGCGCCUCUAUUGGCAUUAAAUCCCACAACACUCUGACUCUGAUCAUAUAAUACUCUGAUUUAUUAAAGGGGCUGUUUGCAAAAUUUACACAGAUGCCUAUAGAGGGCGCUAACUUUCCAAUGUAUUUUACACAGUAUAUCACUCCCUCUUAAUCAGGGGUCUCAGACACGCGGAGACGUUAUUUUGCGGCCCGCACCUUAAUAUGAAAAUU